UGGGGAAUUUUGGACAAUGGGCGAAAGCCUGAUCCAGCAAUGCCGCGUGUGUGAAGAAGGCCUUCGGGUUGUAAAGCACUUUUGUCCGGAAAGAAAUCCUUGGCUCUAAUACAGUCGGGGGAUGACGGUACCGGAAGAAUAAGCACCGGCUAACUACGUGCCAGCAGCCGCGGUAAUACGUAGGGUGCAAGCGUUAAUCGGAAUUACUGGGCGUAAAGCGUGCGCAGGCGGUUUGCUAAGACCGAUGUGAAAUCCCCGGGCUCAACCUGGGGAACUGCAUUGGUGACUGGCAGGCUAGAGUAUGGCAGAGGGGGGUAGAAUUCCACGUGUAGCAGUGAAAUGCGUAGAGAUGUGGAGGAAUACCGAUGGCGAAGGCAGCCCCCUGGGCCAAAUACUGACGCUCAUGCACGAAAGCGUGGGGGAGCAAAACAGGAUUAGAUACCCUGGUAGUCCACGCCCUAAAACGAUGUCAACUAGUUGUUGGGGAUUCAUUUCCUUAGUAACGUAGCUAACGCGUGAAGUUGACCGCCUGGGGAGUACGGUCGCAAGAUUAAAACUCAAAUGAAUUGACGGGGU
RNAcentral lists this ribosomal RNA (576 nucleotides) under uncultured bacterium. Its description in RNAcentral is "partial 16S ribosomal RNA". It matches the Rfam family "Bacterial small subunit ribosomal RNA", at positions 355 to 919 of the family's 1533-position model. The record is from RNAcentral.